UGCUGGAACUUUUUUUCAAGCAAUUUUGAAUAUUAUAUUUGAAAUUGGUAUAUUGUGUUUGACUUGAGUACAUAAAGUAAUAGAAAAGCCCAAUGUGCUGUAUACAGUAAAACGGUUCGCAAACGAAUAGUUUGCUGAGGAGCAAAAGAAAAUAAGUGACUUCAGGAAAAAAGAAAAAAGUGACUUCAGGGAACAUUCAAAGCGGCAGUACGUGCAAGUACACACACUACGCUUGGGUUGCACAGUGGGAGGACAGCGAAUGAACCUGCACUACGGUGUAAUCUCAGUCACAUGUGGCGAGCCAAAUAGCAAAGUCUGCCAGGGACCAAUUUCUGCGACCCAAAUAACACCACACCGCCAUUGCAGCAAACUAGUUUCAAGAGUGAACCGUUUGGUCAGAGACCGCGGCAUCCUGCCAGUCCGCAUUCAUGCAGAAGUUAAGCGUAGCUUGAAAUGCAAUGAAUUCCAUAGCAGCUAUUAAAGGCAUACUUUGAUGCCCCUUGCUGUCCUUGCUGACUGGGAAUGACAUCCAUGUGCUCAAUUUUGACUCGGCUUGAGAACGUCACAUGAUCAAACCUUGAAAACAGGGGGCGCAGGCGUGCGAUCACAUGACAAGGAAGCGAUGGCACGAAAAAGUGGAGCGCGCCGAAGCGAUGGGAGGAAAGGCGCCCCUCUGCUCCGUGACCGUCACCUUUCCUCUCAUCCCACGCACGCAGAGGCUCUACAGUGCGCGCCUCCUCGAGCGCACCCUGAAGCCCUAGUGUUUCCAUUUGAAAUAUCAGAUGAACUGCCAAUUUCCAUUUGACAGUAUUUUAGAGAAAGAGAAAAAAAACACUGUCAAUGUUAAGUAAUUGCAAAUACUAAAAAUAAAUAG
Molecule: long non-coding RNA, 874 nt
Organism: Syngnathus typhle (broad-nosed pipefish)
Lineage: Eukaryota; Metazoa; Chordata; Actinopteri; Syngnathiformes; Syngnathidae
Exons: 3
Source: RefSeq, a predicted model, not a curated record